CCAGUAUAGAUACCCCAGCAACUCCCUUUCCCCGGGCGCUGUCCGAGUGGCAUAUGGGAACAUAUCACUGUCUCAUCAUGUGUAGUUCUUUCCCAUAACAUUGCAGAUGAGGCUGGGCUUUGAGUCCACACUUGCAUAGCCUAAGAUUUCUCAGCAUCUUGAGGACAGAGGCCGAGGAGAAAAACCAUGCAGCACACAGAU
Molecule: small nucleolar RNA, 201 nt
Organism: Peromyscus maniculatus bairdii (prairie deer mouse)
Lineage: Eukaryota; Metazoa; Chordata; Mammalia; Rodentia; Cricetidae
Gene: SNORA73
Rfam family: Small nucleolar RNA SNORA73 family
About the family: U17 (SNORA73A and SNORA73B) also known as E1 belongs to the H/ACA class of small nucleolar RNAs (snoRNAs).
Source: Ensembl